AGAAAAGUUUUCCACGAAAAAGGUAAGCGUGAAGAAGAAGCUCUCUAGGGGUAUUUUAGGUUCUUUAAGUAGUGGAGACUGAAAAAAAAGAGUUAUAAUGUUUAAUGCAAAACAAUACUACUAAAGAUAAGGCCACAUAUGUUUCUAGAAAGAGAAAGAAAGAAAGAAGAAGAAAUCCAUGGGAAGAGAGAGAGAGAGAGAGAGAGAGAGAGAGAGAAAGGUCGGCGAAGUUGGUAAUGGAUAAUUGUGAUACCCUUACUGUAGCUGAGAACCCCUACCAAACAACGGGGAUCCAAUUAUCAACUAUAAAAGCAAGCCUUAUGGUUAUGGCAAGUAACACCCACAGCUCCAAAAUCCAAAUAUUUCACCAUGUUAACUGCCUUGUUCAUGUUCUUUACCAUCCUCAACAUUUACAUCCCACCACCACCACCACCACCACCACCGGUGCCACUUUUCUGGCCAGAUCCAACCCUCUGUCCACCUUCACCUCCACCUCUACCACCACCGCCGCCACCGCUAGUGUUUCCUCCACUCCCACCUUUCCGCCCAUUGCCCCCUUUCACACCACCACCACCACCACCCCCCCAACCUCUGUCACCACCAAACACCACACCACCACCAAGUAAAUCAUCACCAGCGCUGUACGUGCCGUUGGGUAUCUUAUCUCUAACAAUCGGCCUCGCAGUGGUCUUUGCCAUUGCUCACUACACCCGGCCUGGCAGAGAGGAGGAGAAUCCGGAGAGGACAACUGAGCCGCAGAACACAAACGGAGGGGUACCGGAGCCUCACGAAUUGGGCGGUGUGACUGUGACGAAUGUGCCUACUCGGCUUGCGAGGCUGCCGGAUCCGAUCGGGAGUCCUGCUCUUGCGUUGAGGGUGGCGGUGUAAUAGUAGUGAAGUGAAAGAUGGAUGACAAAAAAUCAAGAGCAGCAGCGCAGUUUCAUCCAUCCUUACUUCGGGGGCAUACAAUAUUGGAUUUUAGUAGUACUAUUAUAUUCUACUAUCAUGGGCACGUUUUAUGAAGAUUAUGUAUUAAAAUAUGGAUGGUAGUAGUAUGUGGUAGCAGUUUUCCCUGAAAAUGCAGUCUACCAAGAUGGGAAUUGGAAUGUUGGAAUUUCAGUUGUGUAACUGACAAUCCCUAAUGUCAUUUAAGUUUUUUCCCCAUGUUUAUUUAAUUAUCAUGUGUGAGUGUUUGAGGCAUAACUGGGAUUCUGGAAAUCAUAAAUGGGUUUAUUAAUGAUAGCAGUGGAAUUUGAACUGUGUUGUUUAUGAGAA
This is a long non-coding RNA of Quercus robur (English oak), 1275 nucleotides long. RefSeq lists it as uncharacterized. The transcript has 2 exons. The record is from RefSeq and is a predicted model, not a curated record. Lineage: Eukaryota; Viridiplantae; Streptophyta; Magnoliopsida; Fagales; Fagaceae.